Molecule: unclassified non-coding RNA, 172 nt
Filed under: uncultured Chaetothyriales
Lineage: Eukaryota; Fungi; Ascomycota; Eurotiomycetes; Chaetothyriales
Description: sequence contains ITS2
Source: RNAcentral
UCACACUAUCAAGCUUGGCUUGUUGUUGGGCCCUUUGUCACCUGGUGACAGGUCCAAAAGACAAUAACCGGUGUCAUACAGACUCUAUAUGCAACGAGCUUAUCACAGCACGCAUCUGGCAGUCGUGUGGCCCGGUUUUCCCUUUGAUUACUUACCAAAGUGUAUUUCUCAA